Molecule: transfer RNA, 73 nt
Filed under: Promethearchaeota archaeon
Lineage: Archaea; Promethearchaeati; Promethearchaeota
Description: Candidatus Lokiarchaeota archaeon (microbial mat metagenome) tRNA-Asn
Rfam family: tRNA
About the family: Transfer RNA (tRNA) molecules are approximately 80 nucleotides in length.
Source: RNAcentral
GCUUCGGUAGUUCAGGCGGUAUAAACGCCAGGCCGUUAACCUGGAGUCAUUGGUUCGAUCCCAAUCCGAAGCG